This 447-nucleotide unclassified non-coding RNA is filed under the name uncultured Russulaceae. RNAcentral's name for it is "sequence contains ITS2". The stretch from base 1 to 154 matches the Rfam family "5.8S ribosomal RNA". The record is from RNAcentral. Lineage: Eukaryota; Fungi; Basidiomycota; Agaricomycetes; Russulales; Russulaceae.
AACUUUUGACAACGGAUCACUUGGCUCUCGCAUCGAUGAAGAACGCAGCGAAAUGCGAUACAUAAUGUGAAUUGCAGAAUUCAGUGAAUCAUCGAAUCUUUGAACGCACCUUGCGCCCUUUGGCAUUCCGAGGGGCACACCCGUUUGAGUGUCGUGACAUUCUCAAAAACCUUCUUUGGUUUCUUGACCAGGAAGGCUUUUGGACUUUGGAGGCUUUUGCUGGCCUUCCUUUGUUGAAGCCAGCUCCUCUGAAAUGAAUUAGUGGGGUCUGCUUUGCCUAUCCUUGACGUGAUAAGAUGUUUUCUACGUCUUGGGUUUUGCACUGUUCCUGCUUCUAACCGUCUCAUAGAAGACAAUGGUCAAGUGAUUGCCACUUGACCCACAAACCUUGACCUCAAAUCGGGUGAGACUACCCGCUGAACUUAAGCAUAUCAAUAAGCGGAGGCU